Molecule: long non-coding RNA, 910 nt
Organism: Lepidothrix coronata (blue-crowned manakin)
Lineage: Eukaryota; Metazoa; Chordata; Aves; Passeriformes; Pipridae
Exons: 4
Source: RefSeq, a predicted model, not a curated record
CGAAGUGGCGGUCGCGGGGGUUGCAGAGGACGGCGCGGGACCGGCAGUAGCCGGAGGAUUAAGUGUUAAUAGAGUCCCAGAAUGCUUUGGUUUGGCAGGGACCUGAAAGAUCAGUUCCUUCCAACUCCCUGCAAUUGCGACUGCCUUGAUGGUUUCUGCAUGAGACGGAAAACUCCUUGGGCAGAUGCCUUUGGAAUUUCUGCUUUGCUGCUCCUCUCCAUCCCCCACCUGCUGCUGUGACACUGCUGUCCCGUGGAAAGGGCUUGAGAGGGCUGUUUCCCACCCCCAGUGAUCUCCUCAGUGAAGGAAAACAAUGAACCACGAAGUCUGAAGUUCCCGAAGCAGCAAGAGCAACGACAGCAACGGCAAAACUGCUGACCCGGAGAAACCGAAGGGAUUAAAGGAAAUUGCUGCGAAUCAAGAAGCCAAACUUUAGAAAGUGACAGCCCUGAAAGGCUAGGUGGAGCAGAAAAGACUCAUUGUUGGGAAAUUAGCGGAGGAGGCGGACCAGCUGAAGAGCCUGUUGCAGCCAAAGCAGCGCAAGCUGGUGCUGGCCGUGCUGAAAGCAGAGGAACUUCCCUGCCACCGGAGAUGCUGAGGAAGGGCCAAAUUGGUGGUUACCACGACAACCCAUGGGCUGUAGCUGAGCUCCACCCACCUCCUGCCCAAGGAGCUGCAGGUAAUGGAAAGCCAGCUUGUGACCCCCAACUCUUAAGGGCUUCAAAGACCUUUGGGUCGUUUCUGAGCUCCUUGGAAAGAAACGCCACUGCUCCUGUUCCUGCUGGACCCAUGUGGCUGCCUGCAUGCUGAGGAUGGAGGGGCGGUUGUGCCGAGUUCAAGGGAAAGGGAGGAAGGAGCACACUGUGCAUAUCCUUUUCCUUUCUGCACAUUUGGAGACUAAGCAACUCCU